CAGUAGCCACGGGAAUACGUAGGUGGUAAGCGUUGUCCGGAAUUAUUGGGCGUAAAGGGCUCGCAGGCGGUUUCUUAAGUCUGAUGUGAAAGCCCCCGGCUCAACCGGGGAGGGUCAUUGGAAACUGGGAAACUUGAGUGCAGAAGAGGAGAGUGGAAUUCCACGUGUAGCGGUGAAAUGCGUAGAGAUGUGGAGGAACACCAGUGGCGAAGGCGACUCUCUGGUCUGUAACCGACGCUGAGGAGCGAAAGCGUGGGGAGCGAACAGGAUUAGAUACCCCUGUAGUCCCUGUCUCUUAUAC
Molecule: ribosomal RNA, 301 nt
Filed under: uncultured bacterium
Lineage: Bacteria
Description: partial 16S ribosomal RNA
Rfam family: Bacterial small subunit ribosomal RNA
Source: RNAcentral